RNAcentral lists this transfer RNA (69 nucleotides) under Squatina aculeata (sawback angelshark). RNAcentral describes it as "tRNA-Ala". It matches the Rfam family "tRNA". From Rfam's summary of the family: Transfer RNA (tRNA) molecules are approximately 80 nucleotides in length. Their secondary structure includes four short double-helical elements and three loops (D, anti-codon, and T loops). Further hydrogen bonds mediate the characteristic L-shaped molecular structure. tRNAs have two regions of fundamental functional importance: the anti-codon, which is responsible for specific mRNA codon recognition, and the 3' end, to which the tRNAs corresponding amino acid is attached (by aminoacyl-tRNA synthetases). tRNAs cope with the degeneracy of the genetic code in two manners: having more than one tRNA (with a specific anti-codon) for a particular amino acid; and 'wobble' base-pairing, i.e. permitting non-standard base-pairing at the 3rd anti-codon position. Lineage: Eukaryota; Metazoa; Chordata; Chondrichthyes; Squatinidae. The record is from RNAcentral.
AAGGUUUUAGCUUAAUUAAAGUAUCUGGGUUGCAUUCAGAAGAUGUGAGAUAGAAUCUUGCAAAUCUUA